GUCCCACACAGCCCCGCCCCGGCCGGACUCAGCCUCAUCUCACUCCGCCUUCCUGCGCGUUGUACGGUUGCCAAGGGGACGCACCACUCUCCAGGACCUUCUGGGCGCAUCUGGGGACUAAGAAAAGCCAGAGACAGCUCUGGAGGCUGGGGCAUCCAAGUGCAUGGCUGUGGCAUCUGGCCAGACAAGAAGAAGGUUUAACAUUAGACACCUGAGUGGCUGCUGUGAUAAGAUACCAUUAAACAUGAUGGCGUGGUGCUGAUAUGAGAAAGUUCUUGAAUCCCCAGAUGUGGAACCCAUGGAUAUGGAGGGCUAACUAUAUACAUCCCAUGCACUGAGAAAAUAGGAAAUGGC
This 354-nucleotide long non-coding RNA is filed under the name Homo sapiens (human). RNAcentral's name for it is "HSALNT0319759". Lineage: Eukaryota; Metazoa; Chordata; Mammalia; Primates; Hominidae. The record is from RNAcentral.